The sequence is a ribosomal RNA, 481 nucleotides long. It matches the Rfam family "Bacterial large subunit ribosomal RNA", at positions 1916 to 2560 of the family's 2925-position model.
GACUCAGUUCAACGGCCGCGGUAUCCUGACCGUGCGAAGGUAGCGUAAUCACUUGUUCUUUAAAUAAGGACUAGUAUGAAUGGCACCACGAGGGUUAUACUGUCUCCCUUUUUUAAUCAGUGAAACUAAUCUCCCCGUGAAGAAGCGGAGAUAACGCUAUAAGACGAGAAGACCCCAUGGAGCUUUAAACAAAUAGCAUAUGCUUACACCACCUCCCCCUGUAAAAAGUCAAGCAUUUUGUCUACUAGUUUUCGGUUGGGGCGACCACGGAGAAAAACAAAUCCUCCGCGUUGAAAGAACUUCAGUUCUUAACUAUAAGCUACACCUUUAAGUAUCAACAACUUGACAACCCUUGACCCAAUAAUAUUGAUCAACGAACCUAGUUACCCUGGGGAUAACAGCGCAAUCCAUUUCAAGAGCUCCUAUCGACAAUUGGGUUUACGACCUCGAUGUUGGAUCAGGGUAUCCCAGUGGUGCAGCC